GACGAACGCUGGCGGCGUGCUUAACACAUGCAAGUCGAACGGAAAGGCCCCUUUGGGGGUCCUCGAGUGGCGAACGGGUGAGUAACACGUGAGUAACCUGCCCUUGACUUCGGGAUAACUUCAGGAAACUGGGGCUAAUACCGGAUAGGAAUCCUUGCUGCAUGGUGGGGGUUGGAAAGCUUCGGCGGUUUUGGAUGGACUCGCGGCUUAUCAGCUUGUUGGUGGGGUAGUGGCUUACCAAGGCUUUGACGGGUAGCCGGCCUGAGAGGGCGACCGGCCACAUUGGGACUGAGAGACGGCCCAGACGCCUACGGGAGGAAGCAGUGGGGAAUAUUGCACAAUGGGCGGAAGCCUGAUGCAGCAACGCCGCGUGCGGGAUGACGGCCUUCGGGUUGUAAAACGCUUUCAGCAGGGGCGAAGCUUGUGGUGACGGUACCUGCAGAAGAAGCACCGGCUAACUACGUG
RNAcentral lists this ribosomal RNA (465 nucleotides) under uncultured bacterium. Its description in RNAcentral is "partial 16S ribosomal RNA". It matches the Rfam family "Bacterial small subunit ribosomal RNA", at positions 28 to 507 of the family's 1533-position model. The record is from RNAcentral.